Molecule: ribosomal RNA, 487 nt
Filed under: Alternaria lini
Lineage: Eukaryota; Fungi; Ascomycota; Dothideomycetes; Pleosporales; Pleosporaceae
Description: eukaryotic LSU rRNA
Rfam family: 5.8S ribosomal RNA (bases 153-306)
Source: RNAcentral
GGCGGGCUGGACCUCUCGGGGUUACAGCCUUGCUGAAUUAUUCACCCUUGUCUUUUGCGUACUUCUUGUUUCCUUGGUGGGUUCGCCCACCACUAGGACAAACAUAAACCUUUUGUAAUUGCAAUCAGCGUCAGUAACAAAUUAAUAAUUACAACUUUCAACAACGGAUCUCUUGGUUCUGGCAUCGAUGAAGAACGCAGCGAAAUGCGAUAAGUAGUGUGAAUUGCAGAAUUCAGUGAAUCAUCGAAUCUUUGAACGCACAUUGCGCCCUUUGGUAUUCCAAAGGGCAUGCCUGUUCGAGCGUCAUUUGUACCCUCAAGCUUUGCUUGGUGUUGGGCGUCUUGUCUCUAGCUUUGCUGGAGACUCGCCUUAAAGUAAUUGGCAGCCGGCCUACUGGUUUCGGAGCGCAGCACAAGUCGCACUCUCUAUCAGCAAAGGUCUAGCAUCCAUUAAGCCUUUUUUUCAACUUUGACCUCGGAUCAGUAGG